GGCUUAGAGUUUGAUCAUGGCUCAGGAUGAACGCUGGCGGCGUGCCUAACACAUGCAAGUCGAACGAAGCACUUUACUUUGAUUUCUUCGGAUUGAAAAGUUUUGUGACUGAGUGGCGGACGGGUGAGUAACGCGUGGGUAACCUGCCUCACACAGGGGGAUAACAGUUAGAAAUGGCUGCUAAUACCGCAUAAGACCACAGCACCGCAUGGUGCAGGGGUAAAAACUCCGGUGGUGUGAGAUGGACCCGCGUCUGAUUAGCUAGUUGGUAAGGUAAGGGCUUACCAAGGCGACGAUCAGUAGCCGACCUGAGAGGGUGACCGGCCACAUUGGGACUGAGACACGGCCCAAACUCCUACGGGAGGCAGCAGUGGGGAAUAUUGCACAAUGGGGGAAACCCUGAUGCAGCGACGCCGCGUGAGUGACGAAGUAUUUCGGUAUGUAAAGCUCUAUCAGCAGGGAAGAAACUGACGGUACCUGACUAAGAAGCACCGGCUAAAUACGUGCCAGCAGCCGCGGUAAUACGUAUGGUGCAAGCGUUAUCCGGAUUUACUGGGUGUAAAGGGAGCGUAGACGGAUAGGCAAGUCUGGAGUGAAAACCCGGGGCUCAACCCCGGGACUGCUUUGGAAACUGUUUAUCUAGAGUGCUGGAGAGGUAAGUG
This 662-nucleotide ribosomal RNA is filed under the name uncultured organism. RNAcentral describes it as "bacterial SSU rRNA". It matches the Rfam family "Bacterial small subunit ribosomal RNA", at positions 1 to 663 of the family's 1533-position model. The record is from RNAcentral.